RNAcentral lists this long non-coding RNA (1598 nucleotides) under Triticum aestivum (bread wheat). RNAcentral describes it as "long non-coding RNA (TAES_LNC022717)". Lineage: Eukaryota; Viridiplantae; Streptophyta; Magnoliopsida; Poales; Poaceae. The record is from RNAcentral.
UUUUGUUCACAGCUCAUUCCUAGCUAAGACAUAACGGCGGGUAGGCAAACAACUUGAUUCAGGUCAAUACAAUACUCUUCUUCGAACUUGCAAGCUUGGGACACAAGCGUAAACUGAAAAAGAAGUAAGACCAGGUACACUGCUAAACAUAAGUAUAAAGAGGUGGAAGGCUGGCCGUGCUUGUGCUCACCUACAGGUCUGUCCCAGCAUACAGUAUCGAAAAAGACUGUCUCUUAUUUUUGAUUUGUCUAAAUCAGCGUAUAUUAACUAAUACUACUUUAUCCAGUCAAUAAUGAAUUGAAAGGUCGUCUUUAAUUCAAAAGUGCAUAAGCAAGCAAGGAACGGAAGGCAUGCUAACUACACUACUAGAGUCAAGAAAAAAAACGACACUACAAACCAAACUACUUGAGUAAGAAUCAAAGCUUAUUGAAGAUGCUAGAAAAUCUAUGAACAAGUACCAGGUUAGUAAUUCAAUUGUGAUAUCUUCUGCAGCGUUUUCUCUCUGUUGCUAUUCUCAGCACUUUGGAAAGUAUCUAUGCAAAGGAAUUAGUAUUAAGAAUAGCUUGGUUUGGUGCAAAUGUAAUAUAAAAAAGGCAUUCCCCUAUAUGCUGUUAGAUGUACUGCAAAAAGGUCAAGUUAAAGAAAUAUUAGGAAAAUUGUUUCGGCUNNNNNNNNNNAUAAGUAUAAAGAGGUGGAAGGCUGGCUGUGCUUGUGCUCACCUACAGGUCUGUCCCAGCAUACAGUAUCGAAAAAGACUGUCUCUUAUUUUUGAUUUGUCUGAAUCAGCGUAUAUUAACUAAUACUACUUUAUCCAGUCAAUAAUGAAUUGAAAGGUCGUCUUUAAUUCAAAAGUGCAUAAGCAAGCAAGGAACGGAAGGCAUGCUAACUACACUACUAGAGUCAAGAAAAAAAACGACACUACAAACCAAACUACUUGAGUAAGAAUCAAAGCUUAUUGAAGAUGCUAGAAAAUCUAUGAACAAGUACCAGGUUAGUAAUUCAAUUGUGAUAUCUUCUGAAGCGUUUUCUCUCUGUUGCUAUUCUCAGCACUUUGGAAAGUAUCUAUGCAAAGGAAUUAGUAUUAAGAAUAGCUUGGUUUGGUGCAAAUGUAAUAUAAAAAAGGCAUUCCCCUAUAUGCUGUUAGAUGUACUGCAAAAAGGUCAAGUUAAAGAAAUAUUAGGAAAAUUGUUUCGGCUGUCUGUGCUAUCAUUUUUCUGGAAGCUUUUAAGCCUGUUGUCCAGAUGCUGCUGCCUAAAAGUAGUUCUUUUAAAUUGUUUUCUUGUGGUCUUGUUCUCUGUAUUGUUUUUGGAAACAAAGUACUCUGUAUUGUUCAUGUGNNNNNNNNNNAAUCAGCGUAUAUUAACUAAUACUACUUUAUCCAGUCAAUAAUGAAUUGAAAGGUCGUCUUUAAUUCAAAAGUGCAUAAGCAAGCAAGGAACGGAAGGCAUGCUAACUACACUACUAGAGUCAAGAAAAAAAACGACACUACAAACCAAACUACUUGAGUAAGAAUCAAAGCUUAUUGAAGAUGCUAGAAAAUCUAUGAACAAGUACCAGGUUAGUAAUUCAAUUGUGAUAUCUUCUGCAGCGUUUUCUCU